GACGAACGCUGGCGGCGUGCUUAACACAUGCAAGUCGAGCGGUAAGGCCCUUUCGGGGGUACACGAGCGGCGAACGGGUGAGUAACACGUGGGUGACCUGCCCUUAGCUCUGGGAUAAGCCUGGGAAACUGGGUCUAAUACCGGAUAUGACCUCAUGACGCAUGUUGUGGGGUGGAAAGCCUUGUGCGGCUAGGGAUGGGCCCGCGGCCUAUCAGCUUGUUGGUGGGGUGAUGGCCACCAAGGCGACGACGGGUAGCCGGCCUGAGAGGGCGACCGGCCACACUGGGACUGAGACACGGCCCAGACUCGUACGGGAGGCAGCAGUGGGGAACCUUGCGCAAUGGGCGAAAGCCUGACGCAGCGACGCCGCGUGAGGGAUGACGGCCUCGG
RNAcentral lists this ribosomal RNA (390 nucleotides) under uncultured bacterium. RNAcentral's name for it is "bacterial SSU rRNA". It matches the Rfam family "Bacterial small subunit ribosomal RNA", at positions 28 to 420 of the family's 1533-position model. The record is from RNAcentral.